This 497-nucleotide ribosomal RNA is filed under the name uncultured bacterium. RNAcentral's name for it is "partial 16S ribosomal RNA". It matches the Rfam family "Bacterial small subunit ribosomal RNA", at positions 28 to 507 of the family's 1533-position model. The record is from RNAcentral.
GACGAACGCUGGCGGCGUGCCUAAUACAUGCAAGUAGAACGCUGAAGAGAGGGGCUUGCUCUUCUUGGAUGAGUUGCGAACGGGUGAGUAACGCGUAGGUAACCUGCCUUGUAGCGGGGGAUAACUAUUGGAAACGAUAGCUAAUACCGCAUAACAAUGGAUGACACAUGUCAUUUAUUUGAAAGGGGCAAUUGCUCCACUACAAGAUGGACCUGCGUUGUAUUAGCUAGUAGGUGAGGUAAUGGCUCACCUAGGCGACGAUACAUAGCCGACCUGAGAGGGUGAUCGGCCACACUGGGACUGAGACACGGCCCAGACUCCUACGGGAGGCAGCAGUAGGGAAUCUUCGGCAAUGGGGGCAACCCUGACCGAGCAACGCCGCGUGAGUGAAGAAGGUUUUCGGAUCGUAAAGCCCUGUUGUAAGUCAAGAACGGGUGUGAGAGUGGAAAGUUCACACUGUGACGGUAGCUUACCAGAAAGGGACGGCUAACUACGUG